RNAcentral lists this transfer RNA (64 nucleotides) under Cadlina umiushi. RNAcentral's name for it is "tRNA-Lys". Lineage: Eukaryota; Metazoa; Mollusca; Gastropoda; Nudibranchia; Chromodorididae. The record is from RNAcentral.
GUUUUGGUGACCGAGUAUAGGUGAGAAAUUUUUAAUUUCUUUACAGGAAAAUUCCUCCAAAACA